UCUCUCAUAUUUCUUUGUAAAAAACACUCUCCUGUAUAUAAUUUUAUUGAAUAAAAUCGGAAAAGGUCAGGCAUUGGCCACAACCUCGGCUUGUUCAGGUACUUUAAUUUUUAUUAUUGUUUUAUUCCUCUAAUAUCAGUAUUCAUUUAGCCUAAAUGAUAGGAAAAAUAAUGUUGUGUUGAGCUUAGACAUACUAAGCUACUACUAACAUAUUUUGCUAUUAUUAAGUAUUGUAUCACCCGACGGUUCUAAGGUUGAGACUAUAGAGCCCAGGUAACAUGAUAGUCUAGGCAGUAAGUCCAGGUUAUGGAAACAUAACCAGAGGUCCCUUUAAGAAGACUCGGUGUAGCCAAGGAGGGCGUUAAGGGUCGUUUGGGAUUCAGGGUUUGGACUCGCUUGACAGGACUAUUAGCUUGACAUAGCUGGUGUCUCUGUAAAUCCCUAUAGCUCCGUCGAAGUGAUCCAUGUGCUUACUUGGUAUCAGUAUAAAUUUUUAAAUAAUAUAAUUUGUAAGAAAAUAUUAUAGAUUAUACAUAUUAAUGGAUAAUUCAAAUAAAAGUGUAAUUAUUGAGAUACAAGAUAAUUAAAUACAUAUUAUAUUAUGGUAAAAUUCAUAUUAUAUACUACAUUAAUAUUCAACUUUCACCUCUAGUAUGCUCCCAUAAAUAAUCUAUUAAUGCAUUACGAAGUACAAAAUGAGCAUCUUUGUCCUUAAUUCUUUUGUGUCGAGCUAAAAAUUAUUCAAAUAGGUGAUUUUCAUCUACUACCGUUUCUACCGUUGGAGGUGGACAUUCCCAAUCAUCUUGAAUUGGUGCAUUAAAACCACACUCAUCCUCGAUUAUCAUGUUGUGUGUAAUGACCCGACCGGUUGUUUUGCUUUCUAGAUCCUCGUUCCCCUAAUUAAGACUCGCCGUAUGUGCUUUUACUAUUUUAUGACCUAUGAAAAUUGUUGGUUUAGCUUUGGAAGGGUUCGAGUUGAAAUCGGAACACUUAGUUCCUUAAUAAUAGCCUAUAAUGGUUAAGUUAGACUUGCGUCAACAUUUUGAGUAAACAACCUUGGAACCAGGAUUUGACGGUCCCAGUAGGUGCGUAUGAUGAUUUUGGACUUGGGCGUGUGUUCGGAUCGGGUUUCGGAUGACCCGGGAGCAUUUCAGCACUUAAUAUUAAAGGUUUUCCAAGUUCUUUAAGUUUGUUUGGAGUAUACUCUGGUGUUAUCGAGGUACAUUUAGGAUUAUGAGCCUGAGAAUAGUUCUGUAUGGUGAUUUAUGACUUGCACGCAAAAUUUAACGUCAUUCGGAAUUGAUUUGAUACGAAUCAGACGCACGGAAGUAUUUUUAGAAGUUUUUGAGUUUCAUGUUGAAUUCAUGCUUUUUGUCAUCCGAUUCGUAAUUCUAGAUGUUAUUUUGGUAUUUUGAUCAUGGGAGCAGGUCCGUAUUAUGUUGUUGGAUGUGUGAGUGUAAUUGGAUGGGGUCCCAGGGCCCCCGGAUGCAAAACGGAUUGGAAUCGGACUCGGAUUUGGACAUGGGGGAACUUAUGGUGCUUCAGGUCUGGUGCGUUCGCACCUAUGUGGAUUUGGCAACAGGUGCAAGCUCGCAGAAGCGAGCCUGUGAUCGCAGAAGCGGCCUGCGAGUGGGCUUGGUAGUGGUCCGCUGAAAGAAAGAAUAUUCCGCAGAAGAGAACUCGCUUCUACGAUGAAGGGUCCGCAGAUGCGAAGGAAAUCCACCCAGGCCUGGGUUCGCAGGUGCAACCAUCCUAUCCGUAGAAGCGAGACUUAGUACGCAGAAGUGAGGCAAGCUGUCAUGGGAAAGGGCCGCACCUGUGAGGAUGUUUCCGCAGACGUGGAGCCACAGGUGUGACUCUUUUGCUUGCAGGUGCGAAAAUCGCUGGGGCAGUGAGGUUUUUAAUCCGAGACUUAGGCCAUUUUUCCUCACAUUUCAUUUGGUCUUGGGUGAUUUUGAGAGCACAUUUGAGGGGGAUUCUUAUCAAUAUCCUAAGGUAUGUAACUCCCACCCAUUUUCAAGUUAAUUAUGCAGACAUGGAAAAUUGUGCAAACUUGUGGGAUUUGUGAAGAACCUAGGGUUUUGGUAAAAAUGAGAUUUGACCACAAAAAUGGUUAUGGAAUUAAGUAAAAAUUAUAUAUUUGAGUUCGUGAGGCUGUGGGUAACAAUUAUAUUCAAAACUUUUCGGAAUCGAGGCACGUGGGUUCGAGGUAAAUUUUAGGAAUCUUCCAAUUUGGGUGGGAUAAUUACUCUAAUAGCUAAAUUAUUAACUUUUGAGUACAUAUUGAUUAAAUUAUAUAACAUUUGACUAGUUUCGGAUUGUUUAUCAUCGACUUGGGGCGUUUAGAGCGGAUUAGUGGACCGGAAAUGAGCUUGGAAACGAGGUAAGUCUCUUGAUUAACCUUGUACGAGGGAAUUUAUCCCCUUAGGUGUAUUAUUGUUGUGUGUUAUUUGUGUGGGGAGCUACGUACGCAUGAGGUGACGAGAGUCCGUGCGUAGCUAUAUUCCAUGAUAUAUCCGGGUAGACUUAGAUUCACAUCAUGCUUCUGUACUAUUGAAAUAUAUCAUGCGUAUUACUUGUCUUGAUUAGAGGUGAGAGUGGGGAUUGAAUUUGCAAUUAUCGACUUAGCCUUCUUAUUUCGAAAAAUUGGGGAAUACUAAAUAAACUUUGAUAAAUCCAUGUCCUCUCGUCUUGCAAGUACUUCCGUGAGCGAGGUAAACUUCUAUACUCUUAUGGGAUCGGGUCGUUCGCCUCGGCAGUAUGAUAACACCACUCUUAUGAAAUCGGGUCGUUCGCCUCGGCAGUAUGAUAACACCACUCUUACGGGAUCGGGCCAUCCGCCUCGGUAGUAUGAUGGUAACACUAUUCUUAUAGAAUCGGACUGUUCUCCUCGGUAGUACUGAGUACAACUAUUCUUAUGGGAUCGGGUCGUUUGCCACGGCAACUUCGUGCUUAACAAUAGAAACGGGUUCCAUCUUAGGUAUUAUUGAGUUAGUGCCUUCACGGCCAGUUAUAAGAUGUUGGUGAUGUGUUACGAACUCCUGUUGUAUUUAUUGUAGUUGCUUUUAUUUGUCUCAUUGAUACCUAUUAUAUGUUCACCAUGUCUACUUUAUGCACUUCUAUUAUUUUAUUGACCUCUAGUAAGUGUCAAGUCGACCCCUCGUCACUACUUCUUCGAGGUUAAACUAGAUACUUACUGGGUACGCGUUGUUUUCCGUACUCACGCUACACUUCUGAACUGAUGUGCAGGUACUGAGACAGGUUCCACCAGUGGUCACGCAUGCACGUAGUUGAUCAUCUACGGAGACUUAGUGGUUAGCUGCUUGCCUUGCUACGAUUCGCAGCACCUGAGUCUCCUUCUAUCUUAUUUACUAUCCCUGUCUAUCACUUUCGGGCAGUAUUUUUAGUAGUUUUGUAUAUUUUCUAUAUUUCUCAUAUACUUGUGACACUGGAUUUUGGGAAUUUGUAGCACUUAUGUACUGCUGUAGUUGUUAUUUCCACCACCGCGGAGUAUGUAUUUAUUAUA
RNAcentral lists this long non-coding RNA (3526 nucleotides) under Nicotiana tabacum (common tobacco). RNAcentral describes it as "long non-coding RNA (NTAB_LNC017652)". The record is from RNAcentral. Lineage: Eukaryota; Viridiplantae; Streptophyta; Magnoliopsida; Solanales; Solanaceae.